Mustela putorius furo (domestic ferret) is the source of this 304-nucleotide unclassified non-coding RNA. Its record names the gene 7SK. It matches the Rfam family "7SK RNA". From Rfam's summary of the family: 7SK was discovered as an abundant small nuclear RNA in the mid-70s but a possible function has only recently been suggested. Two independent studies have found that 7SK RNA binds the CDK9/cyclin T complex (known as elongation factor P-TEFb). The record is from Ensembl. NCBI's taxonomy places the organism in Eukaryota, Metazoa, Chordata, Mammalia, Carnivora, Mustelidae.
GGAUGUGAGGGCGAUCUGGCUGCGACAUCUGUCACCCCAUUGAUCGCCAGGGUUGAUUCGGCUGAUCUGGCUGGCUAGGCGGGUGUCCCCUUCCUCCCUCACCGCUCCAUGUGCGUCUCUCCCGAAGCUGCGCGCUCGGUCGAAGAGGACGACCUUCCCCAAUAGAGGAGAGGACCGUUCUUCGGUCAAGGGUAUACGAGUAGCUGCGCUCCCCUGCUAGAACCUCCAAACAAGCUCUCAAGGUCCAAAUACAGUGUUGCCUCUCACCCCCUGCACAGCCAUAGAAUAACAAAGCUGCCACUUU